Molecule: ribosomal RNA, 253 nt
Filed under: uncultured bacterium
Lineage: Bacteria
Description: partial 16S ribosomal RNA
Rfam family: Bacterial small subunit ribosomal RNA
Source: RNAcentral
UACGAAGGGGGCUAGCGUUGCUCGGAAUCACUGGGCGUAAAGGGUGCGUAGGCGGGUCUUUAAGUCAGGGGUGAAAUCCUGGAGCUCAACUCCAGAACUGCCUUUGAUACUGAGGAUCUUGAGUUCGGGAGAGGUGGGUGGAACUGCGAGUGUAGAGGUGAAAUUCGUAGAUAUUCGCAAGAACACCAGUGGCGAAGGCGGCUCACUGGCCCGAUACUGACGCUGAGGCACGAAAGCGUGGGGAUCAAACAGG